GCAAGUCGAACGGGCUUAACAUGAAACCUAGUGAUUGUUAAGUUAGUGGCGGACGGGUGAGUAACGCGUGGAUAACCUGCCGUAUGCAGGGGGAUAACAGUUGGAAACAGCUGCUAAUACCGCAUAAGCGCACAGUACCGCAUGGUACGGUGUGAAAAGAUUUAUCGGCAUACGAUGGAUCCGCGUCCGAUUAGCCAGUUGGCGGGGUAACGGCCCACCAAAGCGACGAUCGGUAGCCGGCCUGAGAGGGCGGACGGCCACAUUGGGACUGAGACACGGCCCAAACUCCUACGGGAGGCAGCAGUGGGGAAUAUUGCACAAUGGGGGAAACCCUGAUGCAGCGACGCCGCGUGAGUGAAGAAGUAUCUCGGUAUGUAAAGCUCUAUCAGCAGGGAAGAAAAUGACGGUACCUGACUAAGAAGCCCCGGC
This 429-nucleotide ribosomal RNA is filed under the name uncultured bacterium. RNAcentral's name for it is "bacterial SSU rRNA". It matches the Rfam family "Bacterial small subunit ribosomal RNA", at positions 57 to 497 of the family's 1533-position model. The record is from RNAcentral.